Molecule: ribosomal RNA, 293 nt
Filed under: uncultured bacterium
Lineage: Bacteria
Description: partial 16S ribosomal RNA
Rfam family: Bacterial small subunit ribosomal RNA
Source: RNAcentral
UCACCUACGGGGGGCAGCAGUAGGGAAUUUUCGUCAAUGGGCGCAAGCCUGAACGAGCGAUGCCGCGUGAGUGAAGAAGGCCUUCGGGUCGUAAAGCUCUGUUGCGGGGGAAAAAAGGCAGCAUCAGGAAAUGGGUGCUGACUGAUGGUGCCCCGCCAGAAAGUCACGGCUAACUACGUGCCAGCAGCCGCGGUAAUACGUAGGUGGCGAGCGUUAUCCGGCAUGAUUGGGCGUAAAGGGUGCGCUGGCGGUCCUGCAAGUCUGGCUUGAAACGCAUGAGCUCACGUCCUGCA